GUCCAGAUCGUCUAGUGGUUAGGACAUUGCGUUGUGGCCGCAAUAACCCAGGUUCGAAUCUUGGUCUGGACA
RNAcentral lists this transfer RNA (72 nucleotides) under Hofstenia miamia. RNAcentral describes it as "tRNA-His for anticodon GUG". It matches the Rfam family "tRNA". Rfam says of the family: Transfer RNA (tRNA) molecules are approximately 80 nucleotides in length. The record is from RNAcentral. Lineage: Eukaryota; Metazoa; Xenacoelomorpha; Acoela; Hofsteniidae.